RNAcentral lists this ribosomal RNA (498 nucleotides) under uncultured bacterium. RNAcentral's name for it is "partial 16S ribosomal RNA". It matches the Rfam family "Bacterial small subunit ribosomal RNA", at positions 30 to 523 of the family's 1533-position model. The record is from RNAcentral.
AUUGAACGCUGGCGGCAUGCCUUACACAUGCAAGUCGAACGGUAACAGGUCUUCGGAUGCUGACGAGUGGCGAACGGGUGAGUAAUACAUCGGAACGUGCCUAGUAGUGGGGGAUAACUACUCGAAAGAGUGGCUAAUACCGCAUGAGAUCUACGGAUGAAAGCAGGGGAUCGCAAGACCUUGCGCUACUAGAGCGGCCGAUGGCAGGUUAGGUAGUGGGUGGGAUAAAAGCUUACCAAGCCGACGAUCUGUAGCUGGUCUGAGAGGACGAUCAGCCACACUGGGACUGAGACACGGCCCAGACUCCUACGGGAGGCAGCAGUGGGGAAUUUUGGACAAUGGGCGCAAGCCUGAUCCAGCAAUGCCGCGUGCAGGAUGAAGGCCUUCGGGUUGUAAACUGCUUUUGUACGGAACGAAAAGCCCCGGGUUAAUACCCUGGGGUCAUGACGGUACCGUAAGAAUAAGCACCGGCUAACUACGUGCCAGCCGCCGCAGUAA